This is a long non-coding RNA of Nilaparvata lugens (brown planthopper), 676 nucleotides long. RefSeq lists it as uncharacterized. Lineage: Eukaryota; Metazoa; Arthropoda; Insecta; Hemiptera; Delphacidae. The record is from RefSeq and is a predicted model, not a curated record. The transcript has 3 exons.
AAAUCUGCAGGCAGAGUGAAGAGCUCAAGGCAGAGAUGGUAAUAGACAAGUUUUUCUUUUAAAUUAUUAUGAAUUUUUUGAACCAUUGCUACCGUAUUUAUCAAGUUGUGUGUUUCAUGUUUUAAUUGGUCGAUUAUAAUAAUUUCAAGCACAUUCGCGGUGAUUCAAAAUUACGUGACAGUUUUAGGUUACUGGCUGCUGAAUAAAAAAUUGAAUUCGGUUCAGUUCUUGAUAAAAUUUAAGUUUUUGAACUUCUGGAAGUAUUUUAAGAAUCAGGAUAAAGUUAGAAUAGUAUUUCAAAAUAUUUAGUAUUGAUAAACUUCUGCAUGGAUAUCAGAGGUUAUGUUUCUUUUCACCAAAAGAAGCCGUGCAGAAUCAACAAGUGAAAAUACUGUGCUGAGUUUUCAAUAUUUUAUUAGGCCUAUACUAUGGAAAUCUACAAUAUUCAUUAUGAAGACUGUCAGACUUCAGCAUUGAUUUGAAACGUCAUCGGUGAGGACGAGUAUCAAACGAUUCAUAACGUCUCAAUCAUGUAAAAAUGGACGAUCAACUGAUACAAAACCUCUUGAAAUCGCUGUGGAUCCGCCUUCUCUGAGCCGCUGUCAGGAUGAUAUUUCUUGACUAGUUGAACAAAAGCCUGUCGAACGGUUUCCUGGUCACUUCCAUAAGGCACCCC